RNAcentral lists this ribosomal RNA (253 nucleotides) under uncultured bacterium. RNAcentral describes it as "partial 16S ribosomal RNA". It matches the Rfam family "Bacterial small subunit ribosomal RNA", at positions 524 to 776 of the family's 1533-position model. The record is from RNAcentral.
UACGAAGGGGGCUAGCGUUGCUCGGAAUUACUGGGCGUAAAGGGCGCGUAGGCGGCUCUGUUAGUCAGGCGUGAAAGCCCUGGGCUCAACCUGGGGACUGCGCUUGAUACGGCGGGGCUUGAGGGCAGGAGAGGCUCGCGGAAUUCCCAGUGUAGAGGUGAAAUUCGUAGAUAUUCGCAAGAACACCAGUGGCGAAGGCGGCUCACUGGCCCGGUACUGACGCUGAGGUGCGAAAGCGUGGGGAGCAAACAGG